UGACCUCGGAUCAGGUAGGACUACCCGCUGAACUUAAGCAUAUCAAUAAGCGGAGGAAAAGAAACCAACAGGGAUUGCCUCAGUAACGGCGAGUGAAGCGGCAACAGCUCAAAUUUGAAAUCUGGCUCCCCUUGGGGGUCCGAGUUGUAAUUUGGAGAGGAUGUUUCUGGCGCGGCGCCUACCGGAGUUCCUUGGAACAGGACGCCACAGAGGGUGAGAGCCCCGUACGGUUGGCCGCCUAGCCUGCACGAAACUCCUUCGACGAGUCGAGUAGUUUGGGAAUGCUGCUCAAAAUGGGAGGUAAAUUUCUUCUAAAGCUAAAUACCGGCCAGAGACCGAUAGCGCACAAGUAGAGUGAUCGAAAGAUGAAAAGCACCUUGAAAAGAGGGUUAAACAGUACGUGAAAUUGUUGAAAGGGAAGCGCCUGCGACCAGACUCGCGCCCCGCGGACCAGCCGGCGUUCUCGCCGGUGCACUCCGCGGGGUGCGGGCCAGCAUCGGUUCUCCCUGGGGGAGAAAGGCUGCGGGAAUGUAGCUCCUUCGGGAGUGUUAUAGCCCGUGGCGCCAUGCCCCAGGGGGGACCGAGGACCGCGCUUCGGCAAGGAUGCUGGCGUAAUGG
RNAcentral lists this ribosomal RNA (618 nucleotides) under Ceratocystiopsis manitobensis. RNAcentral's name for it is "eukaryotic LSU rRNA". It matches the Rfam family "Eukaryotic large subunit ribosomal RNA", at positions 1 to 637 of the family's 3401-position model. Lineage: Eukaryota; Fungi; Ascomycota; Sordariomycetes; Ophiostomatales; Ophiostomataceae. The record is from RNAcentral.